RNAcentral lists this ribosomal RNA (254 nucleotides) under uncultured bacterium. Its description in RNAcentral is "partial 16S ribosomal RNA". It matches the Rfam family "Bacterial small subunit ribosomal RNA", at positions 524 to 776 of the family's 1533-position model. The record is from RNAcentral.
UACGGAGGGUGCGAGCGUUGUUCGGAAUUAUUGGGCGUAAAGCGCACGUAGGCGGCCCGUUAAGUCUCAUGGUGAAAGGCCGGGGCUCAACCCCGAGCAAGCCGGGGAUACUGGGGGGCUGGAGACAGGCAGAGGCCAGCGGAAUUCCGGGUGUAGCGGUGGAAUGCGUAGAGAUCCGGAAGAACACCGGAGGCGAAGGCGGCUGGCUGGGCCUGAUCUGACGCUGAGGUGCGAAAGCGUGGGGAGCGAACAGG